ACGUUCUGGCAUGGGCGCACCCUGAUCUAGCCAUGCCGCGUGAGUGAUGAAGGCCUUAGGGUUGUAAAGCUCUUUCAGCUGGGAAGAUAAUGACGGUACCAGCAGAAGAAGCCCCGGCUAACUCCGUGCCAGCAGCCGCGGUAAUAAAUAA
RNAcentral lists this ribosomal RNA (151 nucleotides) under uncultured bacterium. RNAcentral's name for it is "partial 16S ribosomal RNA". It matches the Rfam family "Bacterial small subunit ribosomal RNA", at positions 359 to 530 of the family's 1533-position model. The record is from RNAcentral.